UGAAGGGGGGCCCCCCCGGACCAAAAAACUGACACUNUCAGAAGAGGAAAGNGUGGGGAGCCAAACCAGGAUUAGAAUACCCUGGUAGUUCACACCGUAAAACGAAGUNUACUUGGAAGGNUGUGGCCCUGAGCCGUGGCUUUCGGAGCUAAACGCGUUAAGUAGACCGCCCUGGGGAGUACGGUCGCAAGAUUAAAACUCAANUGAAUUGACGGGGGCCCGCACAAGCGGUGGAGCAUGUGGUUUAAUUCGAUGCAACGCGAAGAACCUUACCUACUCUUGACAUCUACAGAAGCCAGCGGAGACGCAGGUGUGCCUUCGGGAACUGUAAGACAGGUGCUGCAUGGCUGUCGUCAGCUCGUGUUGUGAAAUGUUGGGUUAAGUCCCGCAACGAGCGCAACCCUUAUCCUUGUUUGCCAGCACUUCGGGUGGGAACUCCAGGGAGACUGCCGGUGAUAAACCGGAGGAAGGUGGGGACGACGUCAAGUCAUCAUGGCCCUUACGAGUAGGGCUACACACGUGCUACAAUGGCGCAUACAGAGGGCGGCCAACUUGCGAAAGUGAGCGAAUCCCAAAAAGUGCGUCGUAGUCCGGAUUGGAGUCUGCAACUCGACUCCAUGAAGUCGGAAUCGCUAGUAAUCGUGGAUCAGAAUGCCACGGUGAAUACGUUCCCGGGCCUUGUACACACCGCCCGUCACACCAUGGGAGUGGGCUGCAAAAGAAGUGGGUAGUUUAACCUUCGGGAGGACGCUCACCACUUUGUGGUUCAUGACUGGGGUGAAGUCGUAACAAGGUAACCG
RNAcentral lists this ribosomal RNA (800 nucleotides) under uncultured bacterium. RNAcentral's name for it is "bacterial SSU rRNA". It matches the Rfam family "Bacterial small subunit ribosomal RNA", at positions 708 to 1502 of the family's 1533-position model. The record is from RNAcentral.